GCUUACAGCUACACCACCCUGAGAACGCCCGAACGCGUCUGAUCAACUCGUCUGAUCUCGGAAGCUAAGCAGGGCCGGGCCUGGUUAGUACGUGGGUGGGAGACCCCCCGGAAAUACCGGGUGCGGUAAAAU
This 132-nucleotide ribosomal RNA is filed under the name Acanthisitta chloris (rifleman). The record is from RNAcentral. Lineage: Eukaryota; Metazoa; Chordata; Aves; Passeriformes; Acanthisittidae.